Dunckerocampus dactyliophorus (ringed pipefish) is the source of this 1816-nucleotide long non-coding RNA. RefSeq lists it as uncharacterized. The transcript is spliced from 3 exons. NCBI's taxonomy places the organism in Eukaryota, Metazoa, Chordata, Actinopteri, Syngnathiformes, Syngnathidae. The record is from RefSeq and is a predicted model, not a curated record.
CCCACAUCCCUUUGGUUACCUUUCCAAAAACACCGUAACCAAAGUAAAAUAUCGUUAGAACUCAUAAAUGCUCAUGAAAAGUAACCUCACAAUAACCUUGGACAGCGUUCACCGGGAACAGGCUCCACCUACUGCUGGUGUUGCUAACCAGGCUAACCAAAAAGCACUGAAUUGCACAUCCAUUCUUUUCAUACUUUUUACGCACAGAAUUUCUAGGCGCAGCCAAGGCGUCGAGGGGGGACAGUUUGGGGAGCCUUAGGAUCCCGUCUCUGCUAUUUGCAGAUGAUGUGGUCCUGAUGGCCUCAUCAGGCUGUGACCUUCAACGUUUACCGGGGUGCUUUGCAGCUGAGGUUGAAUCUUCUGGGAUGAGACUCAAUCAGAGGCCGUGGCUCUUACUCGGAAAAGGGUGGAUUGCACCUUUGGGGUUGGGAGUGAGGUCUUGCCCCAGGUGGAGGAGCAGUAUCUCGAGUGAGGGAAGGUUGGAGUGUGAGAUACAGGCGGGUCAGUUCUGCAGUAAUGCAGUCGCUGUACUGGACCGUCGUGAAGGGAGAACUGAGUCAGAAGGCAAAGCUCUCAAUUUAGAGGGUUGAUCUAUGUUCUCACCCUCAUCUAUGGUCAUGAGCUUUGGGUUGUGACCAAAAGAACGAGAUUGUGGAUUCAAGCAGAUGAAAUGCGUUUCUUCCAUCGGGUGGCUGGACCUGGACUCAUUUGGUCAUCUCUGAGUAGAACCACUGCUCCUUCACAUCGAGAGGAGGCAGUUGACGUGGCAUCCAGUCCAGAUGCCCCCUGGACGCCUCCCUGGUGAGGUGUCCUGGGCAUGCCCAGCCGCUGGAGGGAUCAAGUCUCACAGCGGGCCUGGGAAUGUCUCGAUGCCCUCCUGGUGGAACUGGAAGAGCUGGCCAGGGAUCGGUAAGUGUGGACUUCCCUACUGAGAUUCUUCAAUCAUGUUGUAUCCAACUAAUUCAUGUUCAUACUCUACACCCCCAUGGAGGAACAGCCCAGCGAAACGAUGAACACAUACAAGAAUGUAUUCAUGAAGCGCUGUUUUCAUUCUUACGUCUGACGCGGAAGUGACAGGAAGAAAAGCUCUGACUCGCUUCGGUAGAAGUCGUUUGAAAUCUCUACAUAAGAUGACCAGUCUGGAACCAUGCAUUGUCCUGGCCUAGUUUGGGGCCUGGUACCCUCUUUGGAGCCAUCCAUGAUCCAUAUGUGCUGGAAAAAAUUACACCUACCAGGGAAACACCAGGAAAAAUCUGUAUCACUGUAUCACUAUCUGACCCAUGCAGCAGAGAAAGGACAGGGAGAGUCGGCAGGAGCACAGUCAAAGACAUUUAGGACAUUACUCAAGAUAACGUAAGGAUUAUGAUACCAGCUUACCUAUAUAUAUUUGUUUUGCAAUUAAAUCCCUACUCUGUAUUAAAUAUAAAAUGCUAACAUUUUAUUAUUAUUCGUUCCCUUACAUACAGGAUUUUAAUGAUUUUAUAUUAUCUUUCAGAUUUUUUUUGUAUUUAUUUGUAAUUUGUUAAGUGUGUAAAUUGGCUGAAACGUUAUCUUACAAAUUCAAGACAACGGUAAAAACAAUGCCAUUCAAUGUCUUUUGCAUCUUUUAGUAAACCGGGCUUUCUCCUACUCCUUUUCGGACACGUACAACGUGAUGGUCUGUCAUAUAAACCCUGACCAUUCCCACAAAACCAGGCUGCACAUCUCUCAGCUGAAUGUCCACGCAGCACCCGAGCGCUAGUGCUAAUGGCUUGGUGCGUAAGAAUGAUGUGAUGGAUGGCGGGGGAGACGUGCAGAGCAGGGUGCAACAUCGUGG